This 73-nucleotide transfer RNA is filed under the name Cronartium comandrae C4. RNAcentral describes it as "tRNA-Phe (GAA) (tRNA-Phe-GAA-2-1, tRNA-Phe-GAA-2-2)". It matches the Rfam family "tRNA". From Rfam's summary of the family: Transfer RNA (tRNA) molecules are approximately 80 nucleotides in length. Their secondary structure includes four short double-helical elements and three loops (D, anti-codon, and T loops). The record is from RNAcentral. Lineage: Eukaryota; Fungi; Basidiomycota; Pucciniomycetes; Pucciniales; Coleosporiaceae.
GACUGGAUAGCUUAGUGGUAAAGGCAUCACAUUGAAAAUGCUGAGGUCCCAGUUUCAAAUCCUGGUCUAGUCA